GGAGCCCGCCGCGUGAGUGAAGAAGGUUUUCGGAUCUGUAAAGCUCUUUCGUCAGGGACGAACGUAUUUCUUGUAAAUAAUGAGAGAUAGUGACGGUCCCUGAAUAAGAAGCCACGGCUAACUACGUGCCAGCAGCCGCAGUA
RNAcentral lists this ribosomal RNA (143 nucleotides) under uncultured bacterium. RNAcentral describes it as "partial 16S ribosomal RNA". It matches the Rfam family "Bacterial small subunit ribosomal RNA", at positions 388 to 522 of the family's 1533-position model. The record is from RNAcentral.